Molecule: ribosomal RNA, 253 nt
Filed under: uncultured bacterium
Lineage: Bacteria
Description: partial 16S ribosomal RNA
Rfam family: Bacterial small subunit ribosomal RNA
Source: RNAcentral
UACGGAGGGGGUUAGCGGUGUUCGGAAUUACUGGGCGUAAAGCGCGCGUAGGCGGAUCAGAAAGUUGGGGGUGAAAUCCCGGGGCUCAACCCCGGAAUUGCCUUCAAAACUCCUGGUCUUGAGUUCGAGAGAGGUGAGUGGAAUUCCGAGUGUAGAGGUGAAAUUCGUAGAUAUUCGGAGGAACACCAGUGGCUAAGGCGGCUCACUGGCUCGAAACUGACGCUGAGGCGCGAAAGCGUGGGGAGCAAACAGG